GACGAACGCUGGCGGCGUGCUUAACACAUGCAAGUCGAACGGAAAGGCCCUGCUUUUGUGGGGUGCUCGAGUGGCGAACGGGUGAGUAACACGUGAGUAACCUGCCCUUGACUUUGGGAUAACUUCAGGAAACUGGGGCUAAUACCGGAUAGGAGCUCCUGCUGCAUGGUGGGGGUUGGAAAGUUUCGGCGGUUGGGGAUGGACUCGCGGCUUAUCAGCUUGUUGGUGGGGUAGUGGCUUACCAAGGCUUUGACGGGUAGCCGGCCUGAGAGGGUGACCGGCAACAUUGGGACGAGAUUACGGCCCGAACUCUUACGGAGGCAGCAGUGGGGAAUAUUGCACAAUGGGCGGAAGCCUGAUGCAGCAACGCCGCGUGCGGGAUGACGGCCUUCGGGUUGUAAACCGCUUUCGCCUGUGACGAAGCGUGAGUGACGGUAAUGGGUAAAGAAGCACCGGCUAACUACGUG
Molecule: ribosomal RNA, 467 nt
Filed under: uncultured bacterium
Lineage: Bacteria
Description: partial 16S ribosomal RNA
Rfam family: Bacterial small subunit ribosomal RNA
Source: RNAcentral